CCCUUAGAUGUUCUGGGACGCACGCGCGCUACACUGACGAAUGCAACGAGCUUAUAACCUUGGCCGAAAGGUCUGGGUAAUCUCCAAAUUUCGUCGUGAUGGGGAUAGAUUAUUGCAAUUAUUAAUCUUCAACGAGGAAUGCCUAGUAAGCGCAAGUCAUCAGCUUGCGUUGAUUACGUCCCUGCCCUUUGUACACACCGCCCGUCGCUCCUACCGAUUGAAUGGUCCGGUGAAGCGUUCGGACCGUGGCCUUUGGACGGUUCGCCGUCUGUUGGCUGCGGGAAGUUCGUUAAACCUUAUCAUUUAGAGGAAGGAGAAGUCGUAACA
RNAcentral lists this ribosomal RNA (327 nucleotides) under uncultured eukaryote. RNAcentral's name for it is "partial 18S ribosomal RNA". It matches the Rfam family "Eukaryotic small subunit ribosomal RNA", at positions 1470 to 1796 of the family's 1831-position model. The record is from RNAcentral.